AGGAGAGUUUGAUCAUGGCUCAGGACGAACGCUGGCGGCGUGCCUAAUACAUGCAAGUAGAACGCUGAAGGAGGAGCUUGCUUCUCUGGAUGAGUUGCGAACGGGUGAGUAACGCGUAGGUAACCUGCCUGGUAGCGGGGGAUAACUAUUGGAAACGAUAGCUAAUACCGCAUAAUAUUGACUAUUGCAUGAUAGUUGAUUAAAAGGUGCAAUUGCACCACUACCAGAUGGACCUGCGUUGUAUUAGCUAGUUGGUGGGGUAACGGCUCACCAAGGCGACGAUACAUAGCCGACCUGAGAGGGUGAUCGGCCACACUGGGACUGAGACACGGCCCAGACUCCUACGGGAGGCAGCAGUAGGGAAUCUUCGGCAAUGGACGGAAGUCUGACCGAGCAACGCCGCGUGAGUGAAGAAGGUUUUCGGAUCGUAAAGCUCUGUUGUAAGAGAAGAACGAGUGUGAGAGUGGAAAGUUCACACUGUGACGGUAUCUUACCAGAAAGGGACGGCUAACUACGUGCCAGCAGCCGCGGUAAUACGUAGGUCCCGAGCGUUGUCCGGAUUUAUUGGGCGUAAAG
This 576-nucleotide ribosomal RNA is filed under the name uncultured bacterium. Its description in RNAcentral is "bacterial SSU rRNA". It matches the Rfam family "Bacterial small subunit ribosomal RNA", at positions 1 to 565 of the family's 1533-position model. The record is from RNAcentral.